Molecule: long non-coding RNA, 3804 nt
Filed under: Lactuca sativa (garden lettuce)
Lineage: Eukaryota; Viridiplantae; Streptophyta; Magnoliopsida; Asterales; Asteraceae
Description: long non-coding RNA (LSAT_LNC003251)
Source: RNAcentral
CUCAAUUUGAAGGAGCAAACCAACGAACUGUGCAUUUCUUUCCCUCGAUUUGAAUCGCUUUCCUUACUUCGAUCGACCCACCCCAGCUUCUUCUCUCUUAGAGAUCCAUAGCAGAUUCUCUCCCUCUUUUCCAGCCUCUCCAAUCGAUCCCAAUUAUUCUCUUCCUCCUCUCUCAAACCUUAGAUCUAGGAUCAAAGUCUGCUAUUCAAAAUUAAAUCGUCAAUCCCUUCAUUUCCUUGCUCCCAAAAAAUCCGUAGGAUUGAUGGAUAUCUGUUGCUCCAGUUCAAGGUAACAUUUUUUACCUAAUUCUCUUUGAUUUCAAUAUAAAAGUAAUGCAUCAAUCAAAUGUAUAAGUUUUUAAGAAAAAUUACCUGAAACACCAAAGUCUAUAAGUCGAUGACGUGUUUUUAAAAAAAAAUUAACAAACAUUUUUUAUUAAGUAUUAAAGUUUGAAAUUAAUACAACCAUAAAUCUAUAAGUCAAUAACACAAACACAAAUCAAAUAUUCACAUCAAUAAAAUAUUAUAAAUGUUUAAUUUCAAAAGUUUAUACAACUUGUCUUUUACUUUCACCAACUCAACCUACAGUAAUUGUUACUAGCCUACAUUGUUUAAAAAUAAAAAAUAAUCAAGAUAUGGUAUUCAAUUAAAUAAUAAUACUUCAUAAAUGUCUAUUUUUUUAAAAGAAAAUUAAAAGGAUAGAUAGGCUGUAAACAUGUUAGAGAAAUUUAACCAUAACCUAACCUAUUUAAUUAAACAUGUUAGAUGGAUUGAGUUGUAAUUAAAUGAAUUGAAAUUUUCAACCUAACCUACAAAUUAUUAGGCUAGAUUCGGAUUGAAUUGACGGGUUCAUUUAAAUAUCCUCAUUUCAACUAUAUAAAGAAAAAAAAUUACAAUAUUAUAUGCUAUGAAACAAUUAUUUAGCUCCCAUAAUUUACCAAUCAAUCAAUACUUUGCCUAUAUCACACACUAAUAAUCUAUGUUUUGAUGGAAGCUUCUGGCUAUUUAGAUUUCCUAUUUGGUUAUCAAACCACGUGAUGUGUUUUAUAUUGAUUAUUUAGAAAAUUGCCAUUAAAGUGUACACUCAAGAAAGUGUAAUGUCGGAGACGCAAUCCAGUUUCAUUAAUUUAAAUCCAAAGUUAUAAUAUAAUAUAUUUUAUAACACUCCAAAUCCGUCAUAUGAUAUUUUAUACUAAAAAACUUUAAAUAGGCAAAAAUAUAUACAUUCAAAUUUUGAAGUAUGCAACUCUGAACUCUUGGAGUUUUAUUUUUUUAUUUUUAUUUUUAUUUUUCAAUUGGAUUUGACAUUUUAAUCAAAAAGCUCCUCUCUCAUUUCAUGAUGGUUUUGUGAGACACAAAAUCGGUUUGUACUCAAAACUAAGGAGGAUUUAAAUACAAUUCAUUUCAUGUCAAUUGAAUUAAGGGGGAAUUUUGGCUUCAAAUUUAACCACAUAUUUUUUUUGUUACCCCAUAUUUGAAUUUUCAAAUGUUUUGUCAAAUUUGAAAGAAAAAAAAAGUCUUGUGAGAAAAAUUGGCAUUCGACCCCAUGAACAUCCAUAUCUAAAAAUGUUCACUUUUAACCGGUCCUUGUGGUUUUUUGCAUUAUAGUCCAAUGGUAACAAAAUAAUAUUUGUUAGGUGUUACAUGUUCAUAGUAAAGAUUUAUAAAAAGUAUUUGUAGUGAUAAGGAAUAUCAUGUCAAAUAUGUUAAGUUGUAGAGACUCAAUCAUCUUUGACCCUAUAACCGUCAGUUCCUUUAUAGAAACGGCAUCAAAACAUGUCAUGAGCCAGUUCUGUCAGUGUUUUCUGUUUUCUUGACUUUGUCUUAUUGACAGUUUUCACUCAAACAAACAUUAAAUUCGUGUAACCUAACAUAUUAGACAACUAUUUAGCAUAAAGCAAUAAAUCUAUCUUUUUUGUUCACUGUGGACGUAAUCAAUCAUCAUAAUCGUGUGAACCACGAAAAUUAAUUGUGUCUUUGUUUUUCGUUUACAUUUAUUACUCCCUUAAAGAAAUCUUUUAUCGUUUGUUGAAAUACUUAAACAGUUAAACUUUAACAAAAUCUUUUCAAACACAGCAAAAUACGAUGAUAUUUAUGAUUGUCAUAAAAGAAAAACAGUGUUGUUUUUAAUAGAUACGCCAAUUUUAGUAUUAUAAGUUAGAAUAGUUAAUAUUAACUUUUUAAAACAAAACAAUGUUACUUAUUUACACUCAACACCCUAAUUGUUUACAAUUUUGAAAAAAGGUAGGCCAAAACAAGGUCAAUAAGGGACCCAUGUGUGAUAUUUUUCUAAUUUACAACACUAUGUCUGUUGAAUUGCAACAGAAAAUUUCAGAAAAAACAUGUGAACAACGCUAAUUGUCAUCUUAGUCUAAAUUAAUGGAAAAGAUGGUCAAAUUCCUGCAAUGAAAUGUCAUAUUAUGACUUUUUUUUUUUUUCCAAACACUUGAUUAUAUAAAGGAUUAAGCAAAAGUAACCCUGAAAUAAACAUGGGUUUGACCCAAAAAUAUCAAUUCAAAGAAAUCACAAACUAUUUAUAUUUAUAUGAUUAAACAAGUCUAAGUUGAAUUAGUUCAGACUUUUGUUAUUUUUCAAAUUGGUUCUAAAACCAUCUAAAAGGGUUUGGUACUACAGGGUUAAAGCGAUAUAAAUGAUAAUAUAUUAAAUUUAAGCAUGGUAAUUAGUUCAGACUUUUAUUAUUUUUCAAAGUUAGUUCUAAAACAAUCAAAAAGAAUUUAAAGAGAUAUACAUGAUAAUAUAUUAAAUUUAAACAGGGUUAGUUGUUAUGACUCAUGGUGGACCUUGAACAAUUAAUUUGGGGGUCGAAACAAAAUUACCGUUCUUAUAAAAACCAAGGGGGCUACAAUCCAAAUUUUAUAUUUUUAGGUCUAAUAUUUAUAAAAAUUAGUACGCUAUCACUACUUUUAAACAACAAAAAAACAAAAACAAAAACAAAAAAACAAGAGGGGUCACAACCCUUUCUACCCUUAAUAAGGUUCAUCAUUGGACUCGUGCAGUUUGAUAGAACUUUAAUGUCCCUAUGGCGCUUAAUAAGCUUCAUCCAUGGAGAGUUUGAUAGAACUUUAACAACGCAAAUACUUAACCAUUAAAAGGCUUGAAAUAGUCAUCUGAAUAAUUUAAUUUUGUUUUGUAAGAUUGUUCAACAGGUCAAUGAAAAUUUAUUUUAUCAUUUUAACUUUCUGCUUAUAAAACUAAUUACUAACAAACUAUCCAAAAAUUACAAAAUUGAUACCAAAAUACAUACCAAAACUUAAAUAAGAUAUAAAUUUUGAAUAAAGGAGCAAAUUUUGAACAAUUGCAGUUCAUCAACACUACUUUUAUUCCUUUAAAAAUGAAAAAAAAAUUAUGCUUUUUGGGAUGCUACAAAUGGGGGAAGAAGCGGGCGGCGCCAACUGGAAAAGAAGCAUGUGGCAUUAAGAACCUUGACAGCAGUGAUAACCAGAGAAGAAGAUGGUGUUUGUCUGUGUAUUUUUUGGGGUUGCCUAUGAGUUUAGAAAGAAAGAAUUAUACGACGACUUCUAAGAAAAAUAUAAGGGUGUUUAUGUUAUUGGGUAAUAAGGGUACACAAAAAAAAGGUUCAAACAUAAUUUUUAGUUGAAUGGUUUAGAUGCUCAUGCCCAGUUGCCCAAUUCAAUUCAGAGUCUUAAAUUUGGCUUAAAUUUGACGAAUCAAACUAUCUUAGUAGUUGAACGAUUUAGAGGGGUUAAGUGUGAAUGGAAGUAUUAACAAAGUGUCAAACAUGGCUAAUAAUAUCAGGGGCGCACCUUUUAUGGGGCCACGAGGG